Pelobates cultripes (western spadefoot toad) is the source of this 207-nucleotide non-coding RNA. The record is from the annotation of a GenBank genome assembly. NCBI's taxonomy places the organism in Eukaryota, Metazoa, Chordata, Amphibia, Anura, Pelobatidae.
AUGUUUAUACAUUUUGGUACAACUCGUCUAACACACAUGUGGCCACCUUUACAUUUGACUAUUGUGACAUUGUCAGCUGUUCAUUCCCACAGUCAUUGCUCUCAACAGUAUAUAAAGACAUACCCAUCAUAAAAGACCCAUAUAUAUGUAUGACAGACGACUAUUGGGGACAUGACUGCAGUUCCUGGAGGGCGGCAGGUUGGAAUG